RNAcentral lists this non-coding RNA (48 nucleotides) under Schistosoma curassoni. The record is from RNAcentral. Lineage: Eukaryota; Metazoa; Platyhelminthes; Trematoda; Strigeidida; Schistosomatidae.
AUCCUACUGACGAGUCCUAAAUAGGACAAAAAGCGCGUCACACUGCAU